AAGUCUGACAGGCUUGAAGAAGUCUGGGCAUUAUUUGGACAAAGCCCUCAGGCACAGGGUGUGAUUCUUGGGGAUGUCCUGUCCAGGGCCAGGAUCUGGACUUGAUGAUCCUGAUGGGUCCCUUGAGCUCAGCACAUUCUGUGAUUCUGUUGGAAUACAGUCAGUGGUAAAUUGGACAAGUUAGGGCACAGGUAGAUUUAGUGCAAGCAGUAGAGAGGCCCUGAAGACUCAGGGAUAACAGAGAACACAGCAGUCAUUUGCUACACACCUAAUGCAAAUGCUAGAAUGGGUCUGUUGCAACAACUCCACCUAUUCAAUCAUUUGAAUAAUUUGAGGCAUUUGGCUUCCUUACCCUUUCAGAAGCAGUCUGAGUGCUGCUUUUGCUGACAGCCAUUCAUUCACGUGUCUCUUCAGGACAGCUCAUGAAUCUGCUUGCACCUCCUUAGCUCCCAGAUUGCUCAGUUGUUUGGGGCUGUCCCAGCGGACAGCAUCCCUUGGAAGGCCACAGGGAGGUGUGUGUGUUUUGCUCAGAUCCUGAACAGCCAAAGGGGCUCCUCACGUUGCAAGGCAGCAGCCAGGUGCCACAAGGAACCAGCUCUCAGGCCUGGAUUUAUGCAUUUCAUCAGCCAUCUACUUUGGAGAGGAAUGGCAUAAAUUUCAACACAUCUGCUAUUUUUGCCUGCAAAAUAUUCAAAAUUGUUUCUGCAGAAGCUACGGGCAGCAGUGGGGGACAUUUAUUUAAAGAAACUUGGAACAAUGGAUCACUAGUGAUUAAAAUAAAAAUGGAAAUUACAUUCUGGAUGUAGGAGGCAAAUGAGUAUUGCAUUUACAAUACUCUGGCAUUUAGCAUAUAUGAACCAUCAUUGAAUAGUUGCAUUUUGGAAAUUUUGAAACCUGGUUGUCUUUUGAAAAAUGCAGAUUCAAGCUUCUCAUUUUAUGCUAAUGUGAAGAGGUAAAGGAGAAUACCAGUUUGUUGAAACAAGUGAAUUAGCAUGUGAAUGGCGCAUAUUGGACUUCUCCCUCUUGAAAUGGAGGCUUUCAAAGUACAAAGUAGGAUUUAAAUCUCACACUGUGAUUUUUCCCUUCUCAGAGCCCCAAAUCAUGUUACUUGUAGUGCAUUAAUAGGCUUUGAGCCUGUACCCCAUCGACUAGAGGUGCUGUCAUUUUUACUAAUAGCCAUAAUCUACAAAUCUUGCAAUCAAUGAAACAACCUGUUUUCUCUCCCCAUUCCUAAUUCUUCUUUUGGAUCUCACUUUCAGUUUUCAGAGCUGAUGGUUAUGAAAACAUUUCCAAAGUAAGAAUGUGAAUGGCAAGCCGGCCUGGACUCUCUCCUUCCUCAUCAAAUCCUUUUUUUUCUGAGGACUGCACUGUCAGCCUUGCCAGAGAGGUUUGCCUUCAGUGCUGAUUUACUCCUUGCAAAUAAGAUGGGCUUGCAGCAAUAUAUUGCUGACAAAGCUAGGCUGCAGUGACACAGGAGAAUUAGUGCUGCUAAAGAGAAGAGACUUGGGGAGGUAAUUUCAGGAAUGUUUCCAGCACCUGAGUGACUAAAAUCUCACAGCUCAAACAGCCUAAUCCCAUGCUGCAACAAGUCAAGCCACCAUAAGCAGACUCUGACAUUUUUUGCUCAUGUGAAGUAGAAACUCAGGAAUCUCUGCUGUGAUUGAAGUUCCCCAAUGAAAGCAAAUUUCUGCCUUCUAAGAUCCUCUCCUUCCUCUUCCCCACCUCCAUUCCCGCAAAUUAGCCAUUGUAACACAGCCUGCUCUUCAAAUACCUGCUUGUGUUUGUGUGAUGGAGUGCACGUUUGCCUUCCUUCAUUGCAUUUUACUUAUCUCUGAUUAAUGAUUAAAGCAAAACCUUUGUAGCUGGUUCUAAGUGCCUCUGUUAGCAAAGAAGGGAGCUUGCAGUUAGUAAUGACACCAGAGCUGGACCACUCUGGGCUGCUCUCAAGCCAAGUCCUGCAAAUAUCACUUGGCAAGAUGCUCCCUGCCUCUCCCAGCCUGCUUUUAUUUGCAAUUAUAUUCACAUUAUUUUUAACAUAACAUUGUAUUUGACAAUAACAUGGAGAUGCUUUGGUUUUAGUUCUCUUAUUUUUGGGGGUAAUGGCUGUCUUAUGAAGUAACAGUAGUCUGAGCUCUGUAGCAACUGGAUGUGCCUAUUGCAAUAUCAGAGAGUGGUGGCUAACAUCCCCUGGUGCUGCACUGCCAGUUGGAAAGGCAGCAGAGGUGCAGUUAUAUCAGGCUGCUUUAAAGGCUGUAAGACUCUUCUUUCUGCUGGCAAUGCCAGUGUUUGCCCUUCUGAUUAAAUCACUACCCUUCAAUGCAAUAGCUGCUUUGCUCCACAGGGAAAAGGUAAGUCACUCAACAAAACAAGUGUUCACAGUCAUACGUUUACAAAGGUUGUUUAUUUUUGUUUGUUUUUAAAAUGGAUGUAUAGUUGUCUUACUGCUCUACUGGGCAAUAAAGGUUUCCUAAGCAGUUCA
Long non-coding RNA from Junco hyemalis (dark-eyed junco), 2479 nucleotides. Lineage: Eukaryota; Metazoa; Chordata; Aves; Passeriformes; Passerellidae. The record is from Ensembl.